Long non-coding RNA from Sapajus apella (tufted capuchin), 1033 nucleotides. RefSeq lists it as uncharacterized. NCBI's taxonomy places the organism in Eukaryota, Metazoa, Chordata, Mammalia, Primates, Cebidae. The record is from RefSeq and is a predicted model, not a curated record. The transcript has 3 exons.
ACUAAACCAGGACACUUUUGAGAGUGAACUUCAGAGCUACUGAUAAUUACACUGAGGCGCAGCAACGUCUGGGACCAACUCAACACUCAGUCUGCUCAUGGGGCAUGGGUUUCCCGGUCCUUCCCUAGCCUGACUGCUCUUCUCCGGAUAUUGGGUGGUCUGUCUCCUUUUAAACCAUUGCUCCCAGAACUGAUUUCCAUAUGUGUCUGCCAUAGUGGAAAAUACCAAAUACGCAAGGAGAUCGUUUCAGUGCUAUCUGCUCAACACCUUAAUAGAGGCAAGAGAGAAUGUGGAGGAAGAAACGAUGGACUCUUUAUGAGAGAGUGGAAGAUGGCUUUGCAGAGGAACUGCUAUCUGAGAUGAAGUAGGAGUUUCUCCAGGCAGGAAGGGCGUUGUUGCUUCCCCUCAGGGUAGAGGGGAGAGCAGAGUUCCCCACGUGCAUGCCUGUUGCUGAAUGCUACUCAGGCUGAUCUCCUGCUUUGAGCGAAUUCGAGGGUGGUCUGAGAAGGAUGCACUUGUCCUGCAGGCCGGUUGUUUCUUCCUGUUUUUGAUCUUCAGAUUCGUCAUAGGAAGAACAGCCGACAUACAGGCAGAAUUUGACAAAUGAGGCAACAAGCAACUUGAUCUGGAAUCCGUCGUCUUCCAGACCCCAGUAGGAGUCUGAGCACCAGUGUGGUGGCCACUCCAGCUGCCUGGGGCGCCUGAGGCCUCUACCACCAAAGCACACACAGCUGCCUGUGGCUGAGUUCUGUGGUCUCCCGUGCCCCCUCCCCCUGCUUCCCCCCCGGAGGAUGGAUUCUCAAGAGUGGAAUUGCUUUUCCUCUUGAGGCUGACACAGCAACAGUGUAUCUGAGGCCCCUGCCCCGCCCCCAGGCUGGCCAGUGUUUUGGGCCAACCUGCUAGACCCAAAAAUGGUAAUCUCAUUGAGAUCUAAUUUGCAUGCCCCUGAGUCCUGGUGAAGUUGAGCAUCUUUUCAUAUGUUUAUUGACAAUUUGCAUUUCUUAUUCAGUAAAUUACCUACUCAUAUCUUAGA